AGAGUUUGAUCCUGGCUCAGGAUGAACGCUAGCGGCGUGCUUAACACAUGCAAGUCGAACGAUCCUUCGGGAUAGUGGCGGACGGGUGAGUAACGCGUGGGAAUCUGCCCUCAGGAGGGGGAUAACGGCUGGAAACGGCCGCUAAUACCCCAUAUGCCGAGAGGUGAAAUGAAUUUCGCCUGAGGAUGAGCCCGCGUCUGAUUAGCUAGUUGGUGGGGUAAAAGCCUACCAAGGCAACGAUCAGUAGCUGGUCUGAGAGGAUGAUCAGCCACACUGGGACUGAGACACGGCCCAGACUCCUACGGGAGGCAGCAGUGGGGAAUUUUCCGCAAUGGGCGAAAGCCUGACGGAGCAACGCCGCGUGAGGGAUGAAGGCCUCUGGGCUGUAAACCUCUUUUCUCAAGGAAGAAGACCUGACGGUACUUGAGGAAUAAGCCACGGCUAAUUCCGUGCCAGCAGCCGCGGUAAUACGGGAGUGGCAAGCGUUAUCCGGAAUUAUUGGGCGUAAAGCGUCCGCAGGCGGCCUUGUAAGUCUGUUGUUAAAGCGUGGAGCUCAACUCCAUUUAAGCAAUGGAAACUACAAGGCUGGAGUGUGGUAGGGGCAGAGGGAAUUCCCGGUGUAGCGGUGAAAUGCGUAGAUAUCGGGAAGAACACCAGUGGCGAAGGCGCUCUGCUGGGCCAUAACUGACGCUCAUGGACGAAAGCCAGGGGAGCGAAAGGGAUUAGAUACCCCUGUAGUCCUGGCCGUAAACGAUGAACACUAGGUGUCGGGGGAAUCGACCCCCUCGGUGUCGUAGCCAACGCGUUAAGUGUUCCGCCUGGGGAGUACGCACGCAAGUGUGAAACUCAAAGGAAUUGACGGGGGCCCGCACAAGCGGUGGAGUAUGUGGUUUAAUUCGAUGCAACGCGAAGAACCUUACCAGGGUUUGACAUCCUGCGAACCCCUGAGAAAUCGGGGGGUGCCUUCGGGAGCGCAGAGACAGGUGGUGCAUGGCUGUCGUCAGCUCGUGUCGUGAGAUGUUGGGUUAAGUCCCGCAACGAGCGCAACCCACGUCUUUAGUUGCCAGCAUUCAGUUGGGCACUCUAGAGAGACCGCCGGUGAUAAACCGGAGGAAGGUGUGGAUGACGUCAAGUCAUCAUGCCCCUCACAUCCUGGGCUACACACGUACUACAAUGCUACGGACAAAGGGCAGCAAGCUCGCGAGAGUUAGCAAAUCCCAUAAACCGUGGCUCAGUUCAGAUCGUAGGCUGCAACUCGCCUACGUGAAGGAGGAAUCGCUAGUAAUCGCAGGUCAGCAUACUGCGGUGAAUACGUUCCCGGGCCUUGUACACACCGCCCGUCACACCAUGGAAGUUGGCCAUGCCCGAAGUCGUUACUCCAACCCUUGUGGAGGAGGACGCCGAAGGUGGGGCUGAUGACUGGGGUGAAGUCGUAACAAGGUA
Molecule: ribosomal RNA, 1443 nt
Filed under: metagenome
Description: bacterial SSU rRNA
Rfam family: Bacterial small subunit ribosomal RNA
Source: RNAcentral